This 492-nucleotide ribosomal RNA is filed under the name uncultured bacterium. RNAcentral describes it as "partial 16S ribosomal RNA". It matches the Rfam family "Bacterial small subunit ribosomal RNA", at positions 29 to 507 of the family's 1533-position model. The record is from RNAcentral.
AGUGAACGCUGGCGGUAGGCCUAACACAUGCAAGUCGAACGGCAGCACAGUAAGAGCUUGCUCUUACGGGUGGCGAGUGGCGGACGGGUGAGGAAUACAUCGGAAUCUACUUUUUCGUGGGGGAUAACGUAGGGAAACUUACACUAAUACCGCAUACGACCUACGGGUGAAAGCAGGGGAUCUUCGGACCUUGCGCGAUUGAAUGAGCCGAUGUCGGAUUAGCUAGUUGGCGGGGUAAAGGCCCACCAAGGCGACGAUCCGUAGCUGGUCUGAGAGGAUGAUCAGCCACACUGGAACUGAGACACGGUCCAGACUCCUACGGGAGGCAGCAGUGGGGAAUAUUGGACAAUGGGCGCAAGCCUGAUCCAGCCAUACCGCGUGGGUGAAGAAGGCCUUCGGGUUGUAAAGCCCUUUUGUCGGGAAAGAAAAGCAGCAGGUUAAUACCCCGCUGUUCUGACGGUACCCAAAGAAUAAGCACCGGCUAACUUCGUG